CGCAAGAUUAAAACUCAAAUGAAUUGACGGGGGCCCGCACAAGCGGUGGAGCAUGUGGUUUAAUUCGAUGCAACGCGAAGAACCUUACCUACUCUUGACAUCCAGAGAACUUACCAGAGAUGCAUUGGUGCCUUCGGGAGCUCUGAGACAGGUGCUGCAUGGCUGUCGUCAGCUCGUGUUGUGAAAUGUUGGGUUAAGUCCCGCAACGAGCGCAACCCUUAUCCUUGUUUGCCAGCGAGUCAUGUCGGGAACUCCAGGGAGACUGCCGGUGAUAAACCGGAGGAAGGUGGGGACGACGUCAAGUCAUCAUGGCCCUUACGAGUAGGGCUACACACGUGCUACAAUGGCGCAUACAGAGGGCAGCCAACUCGCGAGAGUGAGCGAAUCCCAAAAAGUGCGUCGUAGUCCGGAUUGGAGUCUGCAACUCGACUCCAUGAAGUCGGAAUCGCUAGUAAUCGUAGAUCAGAAUGCUACGGUGAAUACGUUCCCGGGCCUUGUACACACCGCCCGUCACACCAUGGGAGUGGGCUGCAAAAGAAGUGGGUAGUUUAACCUUCGGGAGGACGCUCA
Molecule: ribosomal RNA, 570 nt
Filed under: Vibrio sp.
Lineage: Bacteria; Pseudomonadati; Pseudomonadota; Gammaproteobacteria; Vibrionales; Vibrionaceae
Description: bacterial SSU rRNA
Rfam family: Bacterial small subunit ribosomal RNA
Source: RNAcentral